GACGAACGCUGGCGGCGUGCCUAAUACAUGCAAGUCGAGCGGACGAUUCGAAAGCUUGCUUUUGAAUCGUUAGCGGCGGACGGGUGAGUAACACGUGGGCAACCUGCCCUGUAGACGGGGAUAACACCGAGAAAUCGGUGCUAAUACCGGAUAACACGAAAUGUCGCAUGACGUUUCGUUGAAAGGCGGCGCAAGCUGCCGCUACAGGAUGGGCCCGCGGCGCAUUAGCUAGUUGGUGAGGUAACGGCUCACCAAGGCGACGAUGCGUAGCCGACCUGAGAGGGUGAUCGGCCACACUGGGACUGAGACACGGCCCAGACUCCUACGGGAGGCAGCAGUAGGGAAUCUUCCGCAAUGGACGAAAGUCUGACGGAGCAACGCCGCGUGAGCGAAGAAGGCCUUCGGGUCGUAAAGCUCUGUUGUUAGGGAAGAUCAAGUAACGUAGUAACUGACGUUACUAUGACGGUACCUAACGAGAAAGCCACGGCUAACUACGUG
Molecule: ribosomal RNA, 498 nt
Filed under: uncultured bacterium
Lineage: Bacteria
Description: partial 16S ribosomal RNA
Rfam family: Bacterial small subunit ribosomal RNA
Source: RNAcentral